UACAAUUCAUCAUAUUAGUCUCCGAAUUCAAAAUACUGAACAAAGUUAGAACAUUACAAGUCUCGAUACCGCGAGUAGCGAGUUUGUCUUCACAUUACAAGUCGAUAUCUAAACUACCAUCACAUAGAAGAGGGUUGCGGUCACGAUGAGCAUCAUCAUGAUGAAACUGAUCUUCAUCUGGUUCCUCCUCCGCUCCCUCCUCUCUCCCGCUG
Molecule: long non-coding RNA, 212 nt
Filed under: Hordeum vulgare
Lineage: Eukaryota; Viridiplantae; Streptophyta; Magnoliopsida; Poales; Poaceae
Description: long non-coding RNA (HVUL_LNC001423)
Source: RNAcentral